AAAUGUUUAAUUAAAGAGUCUAUUUUUACAUAAAUAUUUGAAAGUUAUCUUUGUAUGCCAUAAAAUAAUGCUUCCCGUUCUUAUGGUACUUUAUAUUUUUCAGGUGAUUUCAUACAGUAUCCUUCACCAGAAUUUGGUUACACAUCGGGGAGCCACUGCUGGUCUUUUAGAAAUGAGAAAACUGAACCCACUAGAGUGUCUACAUUCUGAGAAGCCCAAAUUUCGUGAAGGAUGACCUGACAUCCUCAUGUGAGUUUCCAGGUGAAAGCAAGCACCACCUGCAGCCUUCUGAGUGAGCCAUCUGGGAAACCCAAGCAGUCAAGCUCCCAGAUUACUGCAGUUCCUGCCAACAGCAGAGAGAGAGGAAAGAAGAACCAUGCUGCUGAGUUCUGUAAGCCCAAAGGACCAGGAGAAAUCACAAAAUUGUUGUUUUAACCACUCAAUUUUUAGAGUGAUUUCUUAUGUACUUACAGAUAAAUGAAACCAAUAUAGUUUAUUGUGGCCAGCUGUAUAGAAUAAAACAAUAAGAAAUGAUUAAUUAUUCAAGGUAAGGUCAUAGAAGUUUAGAAUAUGUGGUAACACUGAAGUCUGGUUUAAAGACAAAGCAGAUGUUUGCUAGAAAGACAGGAUGGAAAAGUGUUCCAGAAAAUUGAAGCAAUAAAAGAAAAGCAAAGGAUAAGACCAUUUGGAAAACUGCACAAGUAAAAGGCAUGUGUAUAGAAAGGGUGAAAAAGAGUUGAAUCUUGGCCGGGCAUGGUGGCUCACACCUGUAAUCCCAGCACUUUGGGAGGCCAAGGCAGGCAGAUCACCUGAGGUGAGGAGUUCAAGACCAGCCUGGCCAACAUGGUGAAACCCUGUCUCUACUAAAAAUACAGAAAAUAGCUGGAUAUGGUGGCUCGUGCCUGUAGCCCCAGCUACUUGGGAGGCUGAGAAAUGAGAAUUGCUUGAACCCAGGAAGCAGAGGUUGCAGUGGGCUGAGAUCCCACCACUGCACUCCAGCCUGGAUGACAGAGUGAGACUCCGUCUCAAAAAAAAAAAAAAAAAAGAGCUGAAUCUAGAAAACUUAUUGGGUUGAAUUCUCUGAAGGCAGUAUAUGUAA
This 1099-nucleotide long non-coding RNA is filed under the name Macaca mulatta (Rhesus monkey). Its description in RNAcentral is "lncRNA (ENSMMUG00000060861.1)". Lineage: Eukaryota; Metazoa; Chordata; Mammalia; Primates; Cercopithecidae. The record is from RNAcentral.